AUGAAUAAGGCUGGCAUGCUAUGCAUGCCGCCUAUGGAACCGCUGGUUGCAGCCCACCUGCACCCACAGCUCUCGGCAACUUCCUCCAGACCUCCCGCUCUCCCUGCAAAGGCGGACCGCUUCCAGUCGGCACUGAACGAGAGGGCGUACAAGGCUGCCGCCAUCUCGGUCCGAGCUUUGAAUGUCUCCUCCAUGCUCUCAGCAUACCAAGCCGAGCUCUGUGAAGACAUGAAUACAAAACUGGACCUGGAGGCGUGGGAGGAAAUCACCGUGCUGACCGACAUCUGCCUGCGUGUGCAGCGCUGCGCGGUCCAGGCCACGGGUAAAGCCAUGAGCAUGAUGGUGCUUCAGGAACGUGCACGAUGGCUGAACCUCUCCAACCUCUCUGAUAGAGAGAAGGAGGACAUUUUGGACAUGCCAAUCGUGCCUGAAGGCAUUUUUGGCUCUGCCCUGGCAUCAAUGCAGCAACGGUGUGNAACCUCUCUGAUAGAGAGAAGGAGGACAUUUUGGACAUGCCAAUUGUGCCUGAAGGCAUUUUUGGCUCUGCACUGGCAUCAAUGCAACAACGGUGUGAGGCAAAAAACAAAAAAGAAUAUGAAGCCCUUCAACUCUGCCUUACCCGGAAGCCUUCACCUGCUCCACCAGCUCGGCCGACUUUUCCUCAGGCAGCUGCCCGAGCCCCGCCUCAGUUCCAGAUCCCGAAGCACCCAAAGCCUCAAGCAGUUCAACCAGCUCCUUUGGGUUCAGCGCCUCAACCAGUUUGGCCACAGAGGUCUUGCACCCAAACCGCUCCACCACUGUGGCAACCCAAGAAAAGAGCAUCCUGACGGAGUUCUUUCCCUCCCGAUGUUGCAGCUGGCAGUUACCCGGCUCCACCUGUUCGGUGUUACCAUGGAGCUUUCUCCCUCCCCUCAAGGGACCCUCCCCGCAGAGUUCCUGAUCAGUUCAGGGUGGGACCAGGACGUGCAACCAGCUGUGCCGGCUCAAAACAAACGUCACAAGCACUUACAUUGUUUUUCACUAACAUUUCACCACCCACCUCGCUGA
This 1047-nucleotide long non-coding RNA is filed under the name Nothobranchius furzeri (turquoise killifish). RNAcentral describes it as "lncRNA (ENSNFUG00015010437.1)". Lineage: Eukaryota; Metazoa; Chordata; Actinopteri; Cyprinodontiformes; Nothobranchiidae. The record is from RNAcentral.